CGCUCACUCUGUGUGCUCAUACGUCUCCAUCACACUCUAUGUGCUCACACGUCUCCAUCAUGUUCACUUUGUGUGCUCACACGUCUCCAUCACACUCACUCUGCUCUCAUGUCUCCGUCACACUCACUCUGUGUGCUCACACGUCUCCAUCACGCUCAGUCUAUGUGCGCACAUGUCUCCAUCAUGUUCACUCUGUGUGCUCACAGCACAUCUCCAUUAUGUUCACUCUGUGUGCUCACACGUCUCCAUCACACUCAGUCUGCUCACACGUCUCCAUCACGCUCACUCUGCUCUCAUGUCUCCAUCACAUUCACUCUGUGUGCUCACACGUCUCCAUCACACUCACUCUGCUCUCAUGUCUCCAUCACGCUCACUCUGUGUGCUCAUACGUCUCCAUCACACUCUGUGUGCUCACAGCACAUCUCCAUCAUGUUCACUCUGUGUGCUCACAUGUCUCCAUCACACUCAGUCUAUGUGCUCACACGUCUCCAUCACGUUCACUCUGUGCUCACACGUCUCCAUCACACUCACUCUGUGUGCUCACACGUCUCCAUCACGCUCACUCUGUGCGCUCACAGCACAUCUCCAUUAUGUUCACUUUGUGUGCUCACACGUCUCCAUCACGCUCACUCUGCUCACAUGUGUCCAUCACGCUCACUCUGCUCUCAUGUCUCCAUCACAUUUACUCUGUGUGCUCACGUCUCCAUCACACUCACUCUGUGUGCUCACACGUCUCCAUCAUGCUCACUCUGCUCACGUCUCCAUCACGCUCACUCUGCGUGCUCACACAUCUCUAUCAUGCUCACUCUGCUCACAUGUCUCCCUCACACUCACUCUGUGUGCUCACACGUCUCCAUCAUGCUCACUCUGCUCACAUGUGUCCAUCACGCUCACUCUGCGUGCUCACAUGUCUCUAUCAUGCUCACUCUGCUCACAUGUCUCCCUCACACUCACUCUGUGUGCUCACACACCUCUAUAGAUGGGUUUGA
This 989-nucleotide long non-coding RNA is filed under the name Oryctolagus cuniculus (rabbit). RNAcentral describes it as "lncRNA (ENSOCUG00000030160.1)". The record is from RNAcentral. Lineage: Eukaryota; Metazoa; Chordata; Mammalia; Lagomorpha; Leporidae.